Molecule: long non-coding RNA, 1101 nt
Filed under: Salmo salar (Atlantic salmon)
Lineage: Eukaryota; Metazoa; Chordata; Actinopteri; Salmoniformes; Salmonidae
Description: lncRNA (ENSSSAG00000112898.1)
Source: RNAcentral
GUAGAGUCUGACAGAGGGAGGUAGUAUGUAGGGUUGAAUAGAGGGAGGUAGUAUGUAGUCCCUGAGAGAGGGAGGUAGUAUGUAGGGUCUGAUAGCGGGAGGUAGUAUGUAGGGUCUGAUAGAGGGAGGUAGUAUGUAGGGUCUGAUAGAGGGAGGUAGUAUGUAGUCCCUGAUAGAGAGAGGUAGUAUGUAGGGUCUGAUAGAGGGAGGUAGUAUGUAGGGUUGAAUAGAGGGAGGUAGUAUGUAGUCACUGAGAGAGGGAGGUAGUAUGUAGGGUCUGAUAGCGGGAGGUAGUAUGUAGGGUCUGAUAGAGGGAGGUAGUAUGUAGGGUCUGAUAGAGGGAGGUAGUAUGUAGUCCCUGAUAGAGAGAGGUAGUAUGUAGAGUCUGAUAGAGGGAGGUAGUAUGUAGGGUCUGAUAGAGGGAGGUAGUAUGUAGGUCUGAUAGAGGGAGGUAGUAUGUAGGGUCUGAUAGAGGGAGGUAGUAUGUAGGGUCUGAUAGAGGGAGGUAGUAUGUAGGGUCUGAUAGAGGGAGGUAGUAUGUAGUCCAUGACAGAGGGAGGUAGUAUGUAGGGUCUGAUAGAGGGAGGUAGUAUGUAGGGUCUGAGAGAGGGAGGUAGUAUGUAGUCCCUGAUAGAGGGAGGUAGUAUGUAGGGUCUGAGAGAGGGAGGUAGUAUGUAGGGUCUGAGAGAGGGAGGUAGUAUGUAGGGUCUGAGAGAGGGAGGUAGUAUGUAGGGUCUGAUAGAGGGAGGUAGUAUGUAGUCCCUGACAGAUGGAGGUAGUAUGUAGUCCCUGAUAGAGGGAGGUAGUAUGUAGGGUCUGAUAGAGGGAGUUAGUAUGUAGGGUCUGAUAGAGGGAGGUAGUAUGUAGGGUCUGAGAGAGGGAGGUAGUAUGUAGGGUCUGAUAGACACUACCCUCUGCAACUGGAUCCUGGACUUCCUGACGGGCCGACCACAGGCUGUGAGGAUUGGCAACAACACCUCCUCCACACUGACUCUUAACACAGGGGGCCCCCCAGGGAUGUGUCCUUAGUCCUCUGCUGUACUUCCUGUUCACCCACGACCGAAUGGCUUUGCAGGACACCAACUCCAUCAUCAAGUUUGC